RNAcentral lists this long non-coding RNA (793 nucleotides) under Gossypium raimondii (Peruvian cotton). RNAcentral describes it as "long non-coding RNA (GRAI_LNC001123)". Lineage: Eukaryota; Viridiplantae; Streptophyta; Magnoliopsida; Malvales; Malvaceae. The record is from RNAcentral.
GACAAGGAUAUGAAAUGUGAAAUCAAAGAGGCAUGGUCCAACUUUCAAAGUUAGCCAAAAGGUAAAGGAGGCAUUGAUUAUCAAGUUUGCUGCAGCAGAGGAGCUGAACGCUUCAAAGCGAAGAAAGACUGCUUCUCUGGGCCUUGAGAUCCUGCUGCUCCUCAUUCAAGAUUAUUUAUUAGCCUUAUUUUGUCACCAAAAAAAACAGACAUGUGUAGUUACUAGUGAAGCCUUAUUUAUGCUUUCACUCGACCUAUUUAUUUUCGCUAAUGAAAAGAUGGGGACCUUGUAAUAUUUUAAAUAUGAAACAAAUCACAUCACACAAAAGGUUAGGGGCGCCGGAUUAUAAGCACAAUCACCCGUAAGCAGUGCUCACACACAAAUACGCAACGCAAUUUGACAAUCCGCAUGGGAUUUAGGAAAGGCCAAAAAUAAACAAAAGAAAUUCGUACACGAAUCCACCUGGCACUUUGCACUUUUUUUACUUCCCCAGUGAGGAAACAAAAUAUAAAAAAUGAAAAUAGCAUGAAGGAAUCUGCUUUUAGGUGUGAGUUGUGUGGCAAGGACUAAUUAGGAGUCCUCCUGCCUCUCCCAGUGUCCAUGUGGCAUGGUGGUGUGGGCAUAUUUUGCAUGAUCGAGGCGUGGCACCGAGGUGAGAUGAGUCGCUAUCAUUACUCAAAAUGGGGCCUUACUCAAAAGUUGCCCCUUAUGCCUUGGCGUUUGUAUUUUUCGUUGAGCUAAGUCCAUCACGGUGACGCUGGUGGAUCCUAAUAAAGUGGGAGAGGGCGUCUGG